RNAcentral lists this long non-coding RNA (6053 nucleotides) under Marmota monax (woodchuck). Lineage: Eukaryota; Metazoa; Chordata; Mammalia; Rodentia; Sciuridae. The record is from RNAcentral.
CAGUGUUCUAUGGCAUCGUCUUCAUGAUAGUGUGUGCAGGGAAGGGAGAUGGGAGAGCGGGCAGGGAGGGCCUGCCUGAGGGGUCCUGGGCAGGGGUGAAGGGACUCAGCACAGGGACAAAGGAGGAGGGUGUGCAGAGCUGUGGAAACAUUGCCAGUGCCGGGAAGGAGAGACGCAACGGAAGGUGCACCCAGGCACGUGUGUGCCCACCUGGCAUGGCGGGGUCCUCUGUCACUGCCCCAUUGGGAAGCAUUCUUGAUGACUCCAGUGGUCCACGGCAUGCCUGGUCACUUCCUUGGUGACUAGAGGGCCUCUGGUAGAUAAGCAUCAGGACAGGUAGCAAGUCCUAAAGUCGCUGUGUGCACGUGCAGACACCUCUGCGGGCCUCAGGAGGCCUGCCACCCAGGUGCUCAGCUGGCUCCUCAGUGGCCCUUUUGAUCCUGGGUAUUGGACGCCCCCACCCCUGCCCAUUGCUCUCACAUCGCUGUCCCUACCUCUCCUUCCUCUGCUUGGCUGGGCCAUCUGGCAUCGAGGGUCUGGGCCAGGCUCCUGGUCUCCAGAUGCUCAACACUCUCAUAGGUGACCGUGGCCAGAUUCAGUGCCCCCAGCACAAUGCAGAGCUUGACACUGACACAGAGAAAGGAGCUUAGCCAAGGCCUUGAGGAGUCCAGGGCCUCCCCACGUGGGCACUGGCAAAAGCAGCUUCCCCACAUUCUCCAACACAGGGCCAUAAAGAGCUGGAAGAGGAGGGGGAAGGCAGAGCUGUGCAGACCUCCAGUGCCCUGCAUGACGUAGCAGUGGCACAGAGAGUCUCUGCCACUGCCCAAUCCUCUCCGAAGAACAGGACUUUUCCUUUUAAGAAAACAAUGAUUUGGGCUGGGGUUGUGGCUCUGUGGUAGAGCGCUUGCCCAGUAUGUGUGAGGCACUGGGUUCAAUUCUCUGCACCGCAUACAAAAAAGUAAAUAAAAUAAAGAUCCAUCAAGAAAUAAUAAAAAUAUUUUUUUAAAAAAAGAAGUAAACAAUUAUUCUAUGUUGCUGAUGAAAUCAAGUCAGAAGAUGCGCUGGCUGGAGGUACCAUCACUGAGCAGGAACGCAGGGUAACUGAGUGCUCCCCAUGGAAGGAGCCCAGCCAGUCAUCCCGCCCUUUGACCAGGGAAAUCACACUGAGAGCGAAGGCUGCCCAGCCAGGCCUGGCCAGAAGCAGCACCCUCCACCAACCAUGUGGGUCCAGACCUGGCUGCUUCACUUAGGGACCUUCUGAGAUGCUGCUGGCAGCUGAGCAGGCCACGACCCCAGCUCCCCGUGUCCUGAGGGUGGCAGCAGUCAAGGCCACUUCUGCUGUCUGGGAUCUUCUUUCCUCUCCUGGAGAGAAUUGUUUUCCCUAAGUCCUUCUUAAUGUCAUCAGUGUUUUUAAAUUUAAUUUAUAUUCUUAUUGUGACACAAAAGAAGACAUAUUUUUGGAUGAUCCUGAGGACGUAAAACAGAAGGGUUCAACUAACAGGUCCAGGUCAAAGCCCUCCCCACCGGCCUUGCUGGGACUGUCCUCACAGGUCUGGAGUUGAUGAAAAGGCUGCACAGGAUUGGGAGAGAUAACGCAGCCAUGCUAGAUUCCUACAGAUUCAAGUGACCUUACUGGAUUGGCCUGUCUGGAUUCAUGAUUAAACUGUCCUCUCAGGAUUGGUAUAGGUCACAAUGGCCUCACUACAUGGGUAUUGAGUGAGCUCUCUUCACAGAGCUGGGAUCACAUAUCUUCUCACAUGAUGUUUGGGGAGGAAUCAGCCCUAUCUGUGUGAGGGGCCAACUCCUAGCCCCUUGUUUUGAACUCCUAAGCCAGUGCUGAGAAUAUGCCCAUAUGGGGAGACAGGGUCUUUUCGGGGGUUAUCUAGUUCAAUGAGGCCAUCUGGGUGGCCCUAAUCCGAUGUGAGCUAUGCCCUUGUGGCAGAGGAUAUCAGGGCACAGACUCCCAGAAGUACCACUGUGAGGACACGGGCAGGAAGGCCAUCUGCAAGCUCAGAGAGGGGCCUCAGUGGGCACCAGUCCGGGCCACCCUGGCUGUCAGACUCUUGUCCCCAGAAAUGUGAGUGAAUGCUGAGCUGGCUCUAGGGUGGGUUUGGCAGGGGUUGCAGCUUGUGCAAUCUGAUAAAUGCUUGUACAUGAAAGUACAUCGCUUAGCUUCCUGUUCCUGUGUUGUGUCAUUUUUGACAGGCCUAAGUGAGAUUUUCUAGAAUCCCCAUUUCUGGGAUAGGACUGAGGGGCAGAUGUGUCUGGGAGGCCAGCCUUAGAAAGAUUACGUGCUGACUUCAUAAGGAACUUCCCUAGCAUCUCUAGGUCACUGUACCAGUCCUGUCCAGCCUGCUCCUUCUCGCACCUUAAGACCCUUUUCACAAGGACCACCCUAACCCCUGAACGCCUGUUCAGGUCCUUCUCAGUAUCCAUGAGGCCAUCCUGACAGCCUUGACCACUCCUUCCCUCCUCCUACUGCAUAGACACACCAGUCUCUCCUGCAGGCCAGCUUCCUUCUUCCCCUGCUCCUCCUCAUUUCCUGAUAUUUUCAAGCAGAGAGGAGUCCUCCCCUGCAUGGGGAAGUUGGGUCUUCUCAAGCCCUGUGACAGCACCUCGCUAAGUGCUGAGGCUGGCCUUGAGCUUGUGAUUCUCCUGCCUCAGCCUCCUGAGGUGCUGGGAUUACAGCUGUGGGCCACUGCAGAUAUGGGGCUGUGCUUUCUAGUUUGCAAUUUGCAAACUCAAGGGAGCUCAGUGGAGCCAGCAGCAGGAAUCCAGAAUUGAAAUACUACUCCUGGCUCAGACAACUACCUGCAAACACACUCUCCAAAAGUAAUCACCGUGUACAUGAGAACUGUUUUUCCCAACACAUGUUUAGUCUUAGGAAACAGUAAUGUACCCCCACCUGGACAAAAUUCAGAAGCUAUUUUAUUUUAUACUAUCCCUUAUCCAAGGUUCCUCAUUCAAGUCAUUCCUUGGACUUCAGUAUUUGUUAUGCUUUGGUUCUUAGGUAACUGUCCAAUUUGAGCAGACUAUUUGCCAGAGAGUAAUAUUUAUGUCAAUAUAAAAAAUGGAUUUAAAGCAAUUGUUCGUAUAUCUCAGGGGGAAAUAAAACCAAACAUUCUCAUUGCAAUCCUGUUAAACAUCUAGAAAGCGAUUGUAUGGACUAUUGUGGGGCUAGGUAGCCAGUUCUUUUCUUCACUUGGAGUGCAUACAUAUUUUUGAAGAUUCUGCUGCCAGGUGGGAUGGCACACACCUGUAUUCCCAGCAUUUUAGGGGACAUUUACAGGGGCAUUGUAGAUUCAAAGCCAACCUCAGCAACUUAGAGAGGCUGUAAACAACCUACUGAGACCCUGUCUUAAAAUAAAAAUUAAAAAAGGACUGGGAAGCUAUGGCUCAGUGGUUAAGCACCCCUGGGUUCAAUCCCUGGUACCAAAAGAAAAAACAAUUGUGCUGAGAUGUAUCUAGCUAUUGUCUACAAUGAAGAAAAAAAAAGUGCCAAAGAGCACCUGGAAAUUUUAUUUUUUCCAAUAACUGAGUUGAGGAGAUAAGGCAGAUAUCAGACAGUACUCUAUAAGUAUAAAUUGCUACAUUUUAUCUAUUUUUUUCCAAUAGCGUGAUAUCUUAUUUUUCUGCAUUUCUUUUAAUUAUGCGAAGUAGCAAGAAUACUGAGCAAAUAAUUAUAAGAGACACUUUUAUGUUCUGGCUCCACCACUUGUUAUAUAUUUGGCAUUAGACAAGUCACUGUAGCUAGAAGACUUGGGUUCUUAUGUUAAAAAAGAAAAAUUAAUUCCAUGUCUGCCUGUUAAUGCAGUGUUUGAGAGAUGCAAUAUUUGAUGGGCCUUUAUACAUAAGAUACUAGUAGUAUAAGGUGACAGAAGUUCUAUUUGUCUCUCAGUCCUGCCGACACAGGACAAUUUCUUGUCCACUAGUCUUGCACAUCUGACUUUAUUUAAGUGUGCAUUUCCUGCAGUCCACCUGAGUCAAUAAAUACACUUAUUGGCUGAAACAUCCGGGAUAAUAGUGAUAGCACGGAGAUGAAGAAAAAAAACCAUGGAGGAAAUUAUUGAGUUAAUUUAGAAUACUUGUAUGCUUGUUCCUGGCCUUUCUAGAGGGUGGUAAUUAGUAUUAGAGAAGUCUGCAUGGACAAUAGCCCACAAGAUCUGGUGGGUCAUGCUAAGGACCUUGAUAUCCAUUGUUAGAGUGGUAGAAACUGUUUGGUUGUUGAGAGCUGAGAGUGACAUUCUCUGAUUCCUGUUUUUAAAAGAUACCUAGAGAAUGAGGAAGCUGGUUUUCAAACUCGGGAUUCCAAAUGCACAAUGCUUUUCAGAAUUCAUACUCUGUGGACUCCUCUCCACCAUGAUGAAUAUGGGUUUGACUUAUGUCCAACAAGCAAGUAUGACAUUCCUGGUCUACCUUUUAUGAAGGUUUUUCUAGCUUCUGCUUCUUCUCUCUUGGAACGAUCUCUUUGGGGACUGUUAGCUAUCAUGUAAUAAGCUUGGAUAUUCUGUUGAAGAUUUCACAUGAAGACUAAAAUCCUUAAGACUACAUGGAGAGAGAGGCCCAGCCUUCCCAGUUUCCCCAUUCAUUAUCUAACAGCAACUGUGCUGAAGUCACCAAGUGCACCAGCUGAAUAACUGACCAUCUGAGCCUACUUAACACAGACAGGAAAAACAAUGCAAUUCAUGUCUGCAAAUCACUGUGCUUUGAUAAGGUUUGUUAUGUAAAAACAGAGAACCAGAGCACGGAUGUGGGAGGCAAGAGCAGCAGAGACCUGCUAGAGGGUCAUUCAGUUCUUUUGGUGAGAGAUGAUGGGGUCUUGGAUGAGUUCAGGAGUUCAAGAAAUUGAAGUCAUAUGAGAGGUUUGGAUGAUGGACUGCUGGUGGGGUCUAAGAUGAAGAGAAAAAUCAAAUAUUAGUUUACAUUUAUUGGCUGAAGCAUCAGGGAUAAUAGUGAUAGCACUGAGAUGAAAACAAACAAACAAACAACAACAACAACAACAAAAACCUUAAGGAAAAGUGAAUUUAAGAAGAGCAAAAGUUUUCUAGUAGAUAUUACUAUUAUUUUGUUUAUUUGAUAUUGGGUGGAUCCCAAGGAACAUGGAGGAGCUGAGUUUUAAUUAUUGAAGUCACUAAUAUAUGGGAGAUAUUAAACAUGUUAAUAGGUGAGAUCAUGCAGAGAUGGAGUACAGUUAUAGAAAAGAUAUGGUCCAAGAUCCUGACCCUCUUUUCUGCUCCUACAAGUUUGUUGUUUUGUCCAUUGCAAUGGUUCAGAUUUGGUUUGAGUGUAUCCCCCAAGAACUCAUGUGUUGGAACCUUGGUCCACAGAGUAGCUAUGUUGAGUGCUAGAGCUUUUUAAGAGGUGGGACUUACAGGGAUGAUUAGAUCAUUGGGAUGCUCCAGAGGGUUGUUGUAAGAGAGCAGUACUUGGCCCCUCCCUACUUUCCAGCUUGUUGUUUGGUCACGUGAUUUUCCCCUCACACAUGUGCUCCACUAUGAUAUCAUCUAGUAUGAUUGACAGGGACAAGGGGGUCCAGAACCCAGCAGACAUCAGUGUGAUACUCUUGAAUCUCUAGACUGUGAGCUAAAUAAACCUAUUUUCAUUAUAAGGAAUCUAUCUAGAUACUUUGUGGCAAUGAAUAUCAGAUUGCUAUAGGCAUGGCUGGAAUUGUUCUGAAUUAAUAUUGCCAUAGAUUUAAGGCGAGUGAAUUGCCUUAAAUCCCAUAUCUGUUGGGAAAGAUUCAGUGUGAGUGCACCCUUGUAUAAGAUACUGGUGAAGAUAUCUCAUUAGACUCUGUGGAGGCAUACUGUCACAGUACCUUUGUUACUGUGGAAGUUUUAGCAAUACCACAUAACAGAAUUAUUGCAAAGUCUAUGUUUCUAUGUUGGAGAGAGAAAAUGAAUUUGCUCUUCAUCUGCUGAGUUGUUGAAACCAUUCAGCUAGAAUCAAAAUGGCUCCUUGUUCUUUGGUGACUAUAAGUUAUUAUUUUUUUAUCAACUGUCUUGCUGCACCAGCAUUCCUGCCAACACAUUUUCAUCCAUCAAAGAAGGUGC